Molecule: RNase P RNA, 410 nt
Filed under: Acidisphaera rubrifaciens HS-AP3
Lineage: Bacteria; Pseudomonadati; Pseudomonadota; Alphaproteobacteria; Acetobacterales; Acetobacteraceae
Description: Bacterial RNase P class A
Rfam family: Bacterial RNase P class A
About the family: Ribonuclease P (RNase P) is a ubiquitous endoribonuclease, found in archaea, bacteria and eukarya as well as chloroplasts and mitochondria. Its best characterised activity is the generation of mature 5'-ends of tRNAs by cleaving the 5'-leader elements of precursor-tRNAs. Cellular RNase Ps are ribonucleoproteins.
Source: Rfam by way of RNAcentral
CCAGACGGCCGGACGGUCGCUGGCCGGGGGCGACAGCCUGCCGGCUGGAGGAAAGUCCGGGCUCCACGGAACAACGGUGCCGGCUAACGGCCGGCGGGGGCGACCCCAGGGAAAGUGCCACAGAGAACAGACCGCCGGCCCGCGGCUUAUCCGUCGGCCGGCAAGGGUGAAACGGUGCGGCAAGAGCGCACCGCGCCGCCGGCAACGGCGGCGGCAGGGUAAACCCCACCGGGAGCAAGACCGAAUAGGGGCGGCAGACCGCGGUGACGAGCCGCGGUCAGGGUGUUCCGACCCGCCGCCCGGGUUGGUCGCGCGAGGCGCGCCGCAAGGCGCGUCCCAGAGGAAUGGCCGUCCCGUCGCCGCAGCGAUGCGGCGACGGACAGAACCCGGCUUACAGGCCGUCUGGCACC